AUGCCGAUCUCGAAAACCUGUCCCAGUUCGGACUAGAGUCUGCAACCCGACUCCACGAAGUUGGAUUCGCUAGUAAUCGCGCAUCAGCCAUGGCGCGGUGAAUACGUUCCCGGGCCUUGUACACACCGCCCGUCAAGCCAUGGGAGCCGGGGGCGCCUGAAGUCCGGGACCGCGAGGACCGGCCUAAGGCGAAACUGGUGACUGGGGCUAAGUCGUAACAAGGUACC
This 227-nucleotide ribosomal RNA is filed under the name uncultured bacterium. Its description in RNAcentral is "partial 16S ribosomal RNA". It matches the Rfam family "Bacterial small subunit ribosomal RNA", at positions 1265 to 1500 of the family's 1533-position model. The record is from RNAcentral.